This 80-nucleotide transfer RNA is filed under the name Pseudomuriella schumacherensis. RNAcentral's name for it is "tRNA-Leu". It matches the Rfam family "tRNA". Rfam says of the family: Transfer RNA (tRNA) molecules are approximately 80 nucleotides in length. Their secondary structure includes four short double-helical elements and three loops (D, anti-codon, and T loops). Lineage: Eukaryota; Viridiplantae; Chlorophyta; Chlorophyceae; Sphaeropleales; Pseudomuriellaceae. The record is from RNAcentral.
GCCCUCAUGAUGAAAUGGUAGACAUAUAUACUUCAAAAGUAUAGGCUUUACGGCGUAUCGGUUCAAGUCCGAUUGAGGGC